RNAcentral lists this ribosomal RNA (229 nucleotides) under uncultured bacterium. RNAcentral describes it as "partial 16S ribosomal RNA". It matches the Rfam family "Bacterial small subunit ribosomal RNA", at positions 118 to 348 of the family's 1533-position model. The record is from RNAcentral.
UGAGCAAUCUGCCCUUCUCAUCGGAAUAAGCGUUGGAAACGACGUCUAAUGCCGAAUACGACCUCCUUUCGCAUGAUCGGAGGUGGAAAGCUCCGGCGGAGAAGGAUGAGCUCGCGGCCUAUCAGCUAGUUGGUGUGGGUAAUGGCCCACCAAGGCGACGACGGGUAGCCGGCCUGAGAGGGCGAUCGGCCACACUGGGACUGAGACACGGCCCAGACUCCUAGGGAGG